UACGAAGGUCCCAAGCGUUAUCCGGAUUUAUUGGGUUUAAAGGGUGCGUAGGCGGGCUAUUAAGUCAGUGGUGAAAGCCCCAAGCUUAACUUGGGAACUGCCAUUGAUACUGAUGGUCUUGAGUACAUUUGAGGUGGGCGGAAUGUGUCAUGUAGCGGUGAAAUGCUUAGAUAUGACACAGAACACCGAUUGCGAAGGCAGCUCACUAAACUGUAACUGACGCUGAGGCACGAAAGCGUGGGGAGCGAACAGG
RNAcentral lists this ribosomal RNA (253 nucleotides) under uncultured bacterium. RNAcentral's name for it is "partial 16S ribosomal RNA". It matches the Rfam family "Bacterial small subunit ribosomal RNA", at positions 524 to 776 of the family's 1533-position model. The record is from RNAcentral.